CACCAAGGAACAAUUGAGGAAGGCUUCAUUCAUCGAGCGUCAGCCCCUUUAAAAGGGGCCGACCCUCCCACCCGUGUCGAUUUGUAUCUUGUUGCUUUGGCGGGCCGGGCCGCGUCGUCGCUGUUCGCAAGGACCUGCGUCGGCCGCCCACCGGUUUUGAACUGGAGCGCGCCCGCCAAAGACCCAACCAAAACUCAUGUUGUUUGUGUCGUCUCAGCUUUAUUAUGAAAAUUGAUAAAACUUUCAACAACGGAUCUCUUGGCUCUGGCAUCGAUAAAGAACGCAGCGAAAUGCGAUAAGUAAUGUGAAUUGCAGAAUUUAGUGAAUCAUCAAAUCUUUGAACGCACAUUGCGCCCCUUGGUAUUCCGAGGGGCAUGCCUGUUCGAGCGUCAUAACACCCCCUCCAGCUGCCUUUGUGUGGCUGCGGUGUUGGGGCACGUCGCGAUGCGGCGGCCCUUAAAGACAGUGGCGGUCCCGGCGUGGGCUCUACGCGUAGUAACUUGCUUCUCGCGACAGAGUGACGACGGUGGCUUGCCAGAACACCCCUCUUUUGCUCCAGUCACAUGGAUCAAAGGUUGACCUGGAAAACCAGUAAGGACACCCGCUCAAACUUUACGUACACCUAAUACGCCAAGGGAGUU
This 641-nucleotide ribosomal RNA is filed under the name Erysiphe pisi. Its description in RNAcentral is "eukaryotic LSU rRNA". The stretch from base 239 to 392 matches the Rfam family "5.8S ribosomal RNA". The record is from RNAcentral. Lineage: Eukaryota; Fungi; Ascomycota; Leotiomycetes; Helotiales; Erysiphaceae.